GAUGAACGCUGGCGGCGUGCUUAACACAUGCAAGUCGAGCGAGAAAAGUUUUUCGGAGCUUUUCUAGCGGCGGACGGGUGAGUAACACGUGGGCAACCUGCCUCAUAGAGGGGAAUAGCCUUCCGAAAGGAAGAUUAAUACCGCAUAAUAUUGUUGAAAGGCAUCUUUUAACAAUCAAAGGAGCAAUCCGCUAUGAGAUGGGCCCGCGGCGCAUUAGCUAGUUGGUGAGGUAACGGCUCACCAAGGCGACGAUGCGUAGCCGACCUGAGAGGGUGAUCGGCCACAUUGGAACUGAGACACGGCCCAAACUCCUACGGGAGGCAGCAGUGGGGAAUAUUGCACAAUGGGGGAAACCCUGAUGCAGCAACGCCGCGUGAGUGAUGAAGGUAUUCGGAUUGUAAAGCUCUGUCUUUAGGGACGAUAAUGACGGUACCUAAGGAGGAAGCCACGGC
This 452-nucleotide ribosomal RNA is filed under the name uncultured bacterium. RNAcentral describes it as "SSU rRNA". It matches the Rfam family "Bacterial small subunit ribosomal RNA", at positions 28 to 497 of the family's 1533-position model. The record is from RNAcentral.